AGUCAUCUUAAUACCAAUGAUGAGAGCCACUGCUGAGGCAGAAGAAAGGGGAACCUUCAGGGGCUCAUGGCUGCACAAAGAUAAUGAGGAAGGAGGAAGUUCCUAGGAGAUGAGACUGUCUCAUGAUGUCAGAACUAAAUGGUAGUAGCCCGGUCCCUUCUGGUCAUGUGCCACCUGAACACGCUACAAAAGGAGAAGCCAAUUGGAGAGAGUUCAUUUCACUUCCGCUUUUUGGGACAUUGUUUUGAGUGAAAUAAACUACUUCAGCACAUAAAGUUGGGUGAGAGCAGCAGUAGAGACACAGGAAAUGUGUUCAACAAGGUGUUAACAGUGCAGCACAGUGAUGCCGGCCCAUAUUGACUCCAUAAUAUCCCAUUGCUUUUAAAAAAUGAACUGGACACUUGAUUUGCUUGAGAUCAGGUAAAUAAGGAUGGAAUCUUAUUAUUAUGACUUCUCUGCCAUUAUACUGAACAGUUCAUGGACUUUGUGAGUAAAAGGUGAAGAAUCCACCUAUAGAAGCAUAUGGCUGCAUUAAAAAGUUUUUUAUUUGACAUUGUUACUUUUAUUUUACCAUAAUAUUAUUAUUUUUUUUAGCUUAUGGUGAAGCCAUUUAGUAGCUCCAUUGCACAUUCCAAGCAAGAUUAUUUGAGGCGUAACCCCAGAAUAUGUCAGUACUGUCAUAAUCCGUACAACUGUAUACGCACUGUCGUACGCACUGUCCCACUUUGUGAAUAAGUAAAAAAAGCUCUGUGAAUGUUCUUGUAUGAAUUCCAUCCACUGCGCCACCAUGCCGCCUCUUAUAUGAAUUGUGGUUUAGAAAUCUGCUUGUCUUAUGACUUUGAUUCCCUUCAUCUGUUUGGUUUUUUGGGUGCUAUUGAUUUCCUAGGAGAUUGUUGCAGGUUUACUUCAUGGUCCUUCUCUCCUUCUCUCUGUUCACCUUGUGAUGUCAUCAAGUAUGUGAAGUCUUUCAGUCAGAUUUUCAAGCCAUCCACAGUGCUCAGUCUGCCUUGGUCAGAGUUGUCAGUGAUCUUCUGAUCGCCGCAGAUUCUGGGGUUUUGCAGUCUCCUUGUCUUGAUUAUCCUGACUGCUAUGUUUGAUUCUGCUGACGAUGAUGUUCUACUGCACCAUUUGAGAGACACUAGAGCCUCUGGUAUGGCAGUGGAGUGGUUCAAUUAUUAUCUUGCUGAUGUUACAAUGUAGUCAUCAAUAAAAAAUGUGUUGACCAUUUAAUAAACUUU
Molecule: long non-coding RNA, 1238 nt
Organism: Polypterus senegalus (gray bichir)
Lineage: Eukaryota; Metazoa; Chordata; Cladistia; Polypteriformes; Polypteridae
Exons: 4
Source: RefSeq, a predicted model, not a curated record